GUUAUAGUUUAUUUGAUGGUCUUUACUACAUGGAUAACCGUGGUAAUUCUAUGGCUAAUACAUGCGCACAUACCACUUUCUCUGGAAGGGUAGUGUUUAUUAGAUACAGAACCAACAACCCACCUCUUUUGGUGGAUCUUAGGUGAUUCAUAGUAACCGAACGGAUCGCAUUAUGGCCUUUUAGGUCAGGCGAUGGAUCAUUCAAGUUUCUGACCUAUCAGCUAUCGACGGUAGUGUAUUGG
Molecule: ribosomal RNA, 242 nt
Filed under: Chiroptera sp. M222
Lineage: Eukaryota; Metazoa; Chordata; Mammalia; Chiroptera
Description: partial small subunit ribosomal RNA
Rfam family: Eukaryotic small subunit ribosomal RNA
Source: RNAcentral